CCCCCCCCCACCGUUUUUCUUCUUCUUCAUCCAAACGACCACCCCCCAUUUGAAUUCCAUCUUCUUUUUCAUUCCAACAAUAGCUUCCAGCAGCCUAAUGUCGGACACACGCACACGCGCACCAACAGAUCGUCGUUCUUCACCAGACUCGCCGAAAAAAUCGAACACGACCACCCUUUUUAUCUCCAAGCCAUAACAGUCAUCGCAACUCACCCCUUUUGCCGUCACUUCAAUCCAAACUCACACCAAAAUUCAGUGAAAACCAAAAUCGAAUUCCUUUCUAAUGAUGUUUAGCUGAUGUUUCUGAGUUGGGGUUCGAGAUUUCUCAGUCAAAUAAGGGUCCGUCGAGUCUCCGGUUUCAGUCCAGUUCUUCAUUUCAUCGUUGUCCACGGUUUCCAGAGUCAAACAUUUUCAGAUUCGAUAUUGCUUUGUCUUAAGAGCCUAAAUGGUCACACGAGUCCAAUAGAAUCUGUAGCUUUUGACGCAACAGAGAUCCUAGCGUUUGCUGGAUUUUCCUCAUGUGAUAAAGCUAUGGAAUUUCAAAAAACAAAAGUAAGUUGAUGUUCCUUUUACUCCUAUGUUCUGUAUUAGCUUUACUCUUAAAACGUUGUAGUGAGUAUACUCUGAACGAUUAUUUGAUGACUAGGAUGUUGUAUAAUUGUCUCGUUGUUUCAUUUGUUUUGUUAAGAUUUUCUUGAUUUCAUUUUUUUUUUGAGCUUUCAUUUGGUAGUUAUUUAGGUACAUGCACGAAUUACUUAAUCUUUUCCAUUUUAAAAGGGUGAGUGAUUGAUCUGUUUGGUCAAUUGUUUUUAAACAAAAAGGAAGAAGCUCGUUGAGAGUAUACGUAGUUCAUGUUUCUUGGAAUGGUUUAGUGUUUAUUUGUCCCGAUGUUUGUUUUUGUGUGUUCAUUCGGAUGGUUUGGAAUGAAUCAUUUUGAAUGGUUGUUAGGUUGAGGCAGUGGAGUUUACAGAAUGCAAAUAAG
Molecule: long non-coding RNA, 982 nt
Filed under: Nicotiana tabacum (common tobacco)
Lineage: Eukaryota; Viridiplantae; Streptophyta; Magnoliopsida; Solanales; Solanaceae
Description: long non-coding RNA (NTAB_LNC014533)
Source: RNAcentral